ACCUCACUCCAUAUCAACAAGCAUAAUCUUAUUGUGCCUUACUGGUUAAUUAAUGAUAAUUUCCCCCUUUUUUCUACACAAGAUUUCAACAGAGGCAGAGGGUCACCAUGCGGUCUUGGCAUCCGACAGCCUCAAAGAUGUUGAAAAGUUUCUCCUGGAAAUUGCCCGGAGAGACAGGAUCAAAGAAGGCAACAGAAAAGGCAGUGGUCCCCAAAAGAGGAUGCAGCUAUAAUGAGACCUUUUAAAAAGCACAUUGCCAAGGGAAAACUGGCCACAAGAAUUGAAUGCCAGCAGUGCAAGAACGCUGAACAUCCUGAUCUUGAUAGGCGGUCACUUCAAAACAUCACAUACUUUGUUAGAAAUCGGGGCAAAGCUCUGCAAAAGAAAACCAGCCAAUAAAGUGUUAUGUUGCUGUUAUGAUGCAAUUAUGUUGUAGUUCUUUGUUGUUCUUAAAAAAGGGCUAGUUUCCGCUGAUGCCUCAGUUUUUUUGUAAACUGCUGUCUGUAUUAAAAUGGCACCUUUUUCACUGACUGAUGUAAUUUGUCUGUUUGUAUAAGCUGUCUUUUACAAGGUCAUACUGGAUGUAGAUUACCAGUCAUAUCACACAAAUAGCAUUGUAUUUCAAGAGACCACUGCACUUUAAAGUGGUCCUCCUACUGCAUCAGAGAUGUCAUUGCUGCAUGUGUACCAUAUUAAAUACCAGGUGUAUUUGCAAUGACUUUGAAGGUUAAUCACUCAUGCCCUCAAAGGGGCAAAAGACAUAAAUCAGACAAUAAAAGUGGUUGCACACAUUGACCUAUCUAUAUCUAUUUAUGUAU
Long non-coding RNA from Sander lucioperca (pikeperch), 818 nucleotides. RefSeq lists it as uncharacterized. The record is from RefSeq and is a predicted model, not a curated record. Lineage: Eukaryota; Metazoa; Chordata; Actinopteri; Perciformes; Percidae. The transcript is spliced from 2 exons.